RNAcentral lists this unclassified non-coding RNA (861 nucleotides) under Hevea brasiliensis (rubber tree). Lineage: Eukaryota; Viridiplantae; Streptophyta; Magnoliopsida; Malpighiales; Euphorbiaceae. The record is from RNAcentral.
GUGAGGUCCGUGAGGUAAAGCUGAAGUUAACGUCUCCAUGGGCCUCUUUUCCACUCCGUGUCUUCGCCGCCUCCGCCACCUACCACUCUCCGUCUCACAACACCACCAGAACCAGCUCCACUUCUCCCAUCUCUCUCCCUUUCCCUCUCCCUCCUCGAUGAAUUCUUCGCUUCACUCACAUCCGACGUCCAAUUGGCGUCCCCAUUCCCAAAAAGCUCGCCGCUAGAGUCAGUACCCACCGCUAACGGGAAAUCCGAGCAGGUCCCAUAAGCGGCAGACGCUCCAACUGAGCAACACCGUCGAGUUCCACUCCGAUCGGAGCUCCGACCAGACACCGACCGGGACCCAUUCCGCCGCCGUUUACGAGCGAUCAACCUUAAGCUACCUCGCUUGAAGGGACUUGCCACAAUACCAGUGGGUUUGUCGUCGUCGAUGAGUGAGAGCUUAGAGAUGUCGAUUGAAUCAAUGGGAAAUGAAGUAGCACGAUCGGAUAGACAGGGACGCUUAGUGAGGGUGUGGGAGUGGAGACCCAUAGUGGAAUAAGGCUUAGGAGGAUCGGAGUCUAAGGUCUGGAGGUGGAAAGGUCUCCAGGAGUGGAGCUGGAAGGCGCAUGAAUCUAUAGAGUGAAGCGAAUCGAGGGUCCUGUGAGACAUUAGAAGAAGAUGAAUGAAGAAUUGAAAAUGGAAGAGGUUUGAGGAGACAAGCUGAAGAAAGUUGGAGAAUGAAGGCGAAGGAAGAAGAAAGUUGAAGAGACAAGCUGUAGCCCGCCUGGAGGUACUAGUUUGGAGUUGGGAGGGACGACUGCAAAAGAAAGUGGUGCUUAAGAUACUUUGAUACUAGCAUUUGGGUCGCCUGGGCCCU